Molecule: non-coding RNA, 1364 nt
Organism: Monodelphis domestica (gray short-tailed opossum)
Lineage: Eukaryota; Metazoa; Chordata; Mammalia; Didelphimorphia; Didelphidae
Source: RefSeq, a predicted model, not a curated record
AUUGCAAGUAUCUACUUUAUAAAUAUUUGAUUUAGAUAUCAGGUUAUAAACACUGCUGGAUAAUGUCACAAAGCUAGGAGAAAUGACUAAAAUGAUGAAAAUGAACAUUGAAUUCCUACUGUACUAUGUUUUGCUGGAUCCUCUUUUUUUCUUCAAGUCUCUUUAGUUAAUUGUGCAUGCUACAGUUUUCAUACUAGCAACAUAAUGUGUAGUCUCUAGCAAUCCUGCUACUCUAAUAUAUUUCUAAACUUGCAGUGACAACCAUGCUAAAUUAAAAGAAUUCUCAGACUCCUAACACUCAUCUCUUCCUUAAUGUUUCAGGAGGAGGAGGGACUAGAUGACCUCUGAAACCUAUGUACUACUCAGGAGAACAUUUAUAAUAACAGAUUUGUGGGCUGUGAUGUGCCCAGAUCUGUACAUUAGAAUACCAAUUUAGCAGCUGUGAGCAGAAUAGAUUGGAACGGAAAAGGGCUGAUUGAAGGAAUACCAAUUAGGAGGCAUCUGCAAAAGUUCAGCACUCACUUAAACAAACCAACCAGGAAACUUGAUUCUUUGAAUGAAGAGUAACUGAUGGGAAAUCUCAGUGAUGCACCAUUACUGAGGAAAAGUCAAGGUUAUGAUCACCAUCUUGAGGCACCAAUAUCUAAAAUGAUACAUUGACCUUAGGUGCAAAAUAUAAGAAACAUAGCUCUAAACCACCUGCAGGAUGAGUCAUCAUCAUUCCAAUAGUUUCUUUGAGGUAUGUAAUAUACUUUAUGCCAUGCUACUUGCACAUUUGUGUUUUAAGUGUAAGUUUAAAAAAUGAUUUAAAAGUUAAAACAUCAUUAACAGAGCUCAAUAAACUUACUAAGGACUUUUUAAAAAUGCAUCCUUACCAAAUUCACUGUUUCCUUAUUUAUUUUGGGAGGAAAGAUAAUACUAGGAGGAACUUCCAAAUGUUCCAUGGAGAGAAGCCAUUUUUUCAUUCAGAGUUUUACAGAAGGAUUACCUAGUAGCAAAAAAUAAUAAUAGUAAUAAUAUUAAAAGGCUCCCCCUUUGUCAUCCUGUUGACUCCCUUACCCAUCAUCAAUGAAAUAAUGGUAAAGCGAGAAAUAUCAAAUAAUUCUCUGAGGAUAGUUAACAUAUUAAAAAAUGGGAAAGUAUUAGGUCUAAAUAUAGUCUUAUACUUGGAUUUUAAAAAAUCAAUUUUAUAAGUAUAAGGUAUAGAAGACACAUUUAGAUAGUAGUUUGUCGUUUAAAAAAUCUGAGUAUUUUAGUGAAAUUCAAGAUUGAUUUAAGUCAAUAAUGUGGUGUAGUAGCAAAAAUAAAAAAAAACUAACGUGAUCUAAGGCUGCAUGCGGAAUAUAUUGCAUUCAGUUCUGGAC